Molecule: unclassified non-coding RNA, 348 nt
Filed under: soil metagenome
Description: partial contains 5.8S ribosomal RNA, internal transcribed spacer 2, and large subunit ribosomal RNA
Rfam family: 5.8S ribosomal RNA (bases 1-120)
Source: RNAcentral
GAUGAAGAACGUAGCGAAAUGCGAUAAGUAAUGUGAAUUGCAGAAUUCAGUGAAUCAUCGAAUCUUUGAACGCACAUUGCGCCCGCCAGUAUUCUGGCGGGCAUGCCUGUCUGAGCGUCAUUUCAACCCUCAUGCCCCUAGGGCGUGGUGUUGGGGAUCGGCCAAAGCCCGCGAGGGACGGCCGGCCCCUAAAUCUAGUGGCGGACCCAUCGUGGCCUCCUCUGCGAAGUAGUGAUAUUCCGCAUCGGAGAGCGACGAGCCCCUGCCGUUAAACCCCCAACUUUCCAAGGUUGACCUCAGAUCAGGUAGGAAUACCCGCUGAACUUAAGCAUAUCAAUAAGCGGAGGA